AACGAACGCUGGCGGCAGGCUUAAUACAUGCAAGUCGAACGAGAAAGCCCUUCGGGGUGAGUAGAGUGGCGCACGGGUGAGUAACGCGUGGGAAUGUACCCAGAAGUACGGGAUAACCAUUGGAAACGAUGGCUAAUACCGUAUAAUGACUCCGGUCUAAAGAUUUAUCGCUUCUGGAUCAGCCCGCGUUAGAUUAGUUUGUUGGUGGGGUAAUGGCCUACCAAGACUACGAUCUAUAGCUGGUCUGAGAGGAUGAUCAGCCACACUGGAACUGAGACACGGUCCAGACUCCUACGGGAGGCAGCAGUAGGGAAUAUUGGACAAUGGGGGAAACCCUGAUCCAGCCAUGCCGCGUGAGUGAUGAAGGCCUUAGGGUUGUAAAACUCUUUCAACGGUGAAGAUAAUGACGGUAACCGUAGAAGAAGCCCCGGCUAACUUCG
RNAcentral lists this ribosomal RNA (440 nucleotides) under uncultured Alphaproteobacteria bacterium. RNAcentral describes it as "bacterial SSU rRNA". It matches the Rfam family "Bacterial small subunit ribosomal RNA", at positions 29 to 505 of the family's 1533-position model. The record is from RNAcentral. Lineage: Bacteria; Pseudomonadati; Pseudomonadota; Alphaproteobacteria.